RNAcentral lists this ribosomal RNA (495 nucleotides) under uncultured bacterium. RNAcentral's name for it is "partial 16S ribosomal RNA". It matches the Rfam family "Bacterial small subunit ribosomal RNA", at positions 28 to 507 of the family's 1533-position model. The record is from RNAcentral.
GACGAACGCUGGCGGCGUGCCUAAUACAUGCAAGUAGAACGCUGAAGGAGGAGCUUGCUCUUCUGGAUGAGUUGCGAACGGGUGAGUAACGCGUAGGUAACCUGCCUGGUAGCGGGGGAUAACUAUUGGAAACGAUAGCUAAUACCGCAUAAUAGUAGAUGUUGCAUGAUAUUUACUUAAAAGGUGCAAUUGCACCACUACCAGAUGGACCUGCGUUGUAUUAGCUAGUUGGUGGGGUAACGGCUCACCAAGGCGACGAUACAUAGCCGACCUGAGAGGGGGAUCGGCCACACUGGGACUGGGACACGGCCCAGACUCCUACGGGAGGCAGCAGUAGGGAAUCUUCGGCAAUGGACGAAAGUCUGACCGAGCAACGCCGCGUGAGUGAAGAAGGUUUUCGGAUCGUAAAGCUCUGUUGUAAGAGAAGAACGAGUGUGAGAGUGGAAAGUUCACACUGUGACGGUAUCUUACCAGAAAGGGACGGCUAACUACGUG